Molecule: ribosomal RNA, 328 nt
Filed under: Clostridioides difficile
Lineage: Bacteria; Bacillati; Bacillota; Clostridia; Peptostreptococcales; Peptostreptococcaceae
Description: bacterial SSU rRNA
Rfam family: Bacterial small subunit ribosomal RNA
Source: RNAcentral
UUUUAUUUGAGAGUUUGAUCCUGGCUCAGGAUGAACGCUGGCGGCGUGCCUAACACAUGCAAGUUGAGCGAUUUACUUCGGUAAAGAGCGGCGGACGGGUGAGUAACGCGUGGGUAACCUACCCUGUACACACGGAUAACAUACCGAAAGGUAUGCUAAUACGGGAUAAUAUAUUUGAGAGGCAUCUCUUGAAUAUCAAAGGUGAGCCAGUACAGGAUGGACCCGCGUCUGAUUAGCUAGUUGGUAAGGUAACGGCUUACCAAGGCGACGAUCAGUAGCCGACCUGAGAGGGUGAUCGGCCACAUUGGAACUGAGACACGGUCCAAAC